RNAcentral lists this ribosomal RNA (251 nucleotides) under uncultured prokaryote. RNAcentral's name for it is "partial 16S rRNA". It matches the Rfam family "Bacterial small subunit ribosomal RNA", at positions 525 to 775 of the family's 1533-position model. The record is from RNAcentral.
ACGUAGGGGGCAAGCGUUGUCCGGAAUUACUGGGUGUAAAGGGUGUGCAGGCGUCUUGCUAAGUUGGUUGUGAAAUCCCGGAGCUCAACUCCGGAGCUGCAUCCAAUACUGGCAGGAUCGAGGUUAUGAGAGGGAAGCGGAACUCCCGGUGUAGGGGUGAAAUGCGUAGAGAGCGGGAAGAACACCAGAGGCGAAGGCGGCAUCCUAACAUAAUACUGAGGCUCAGGUGCGAAAGCUAGGGGAGCAAACAG